UGGCUCAGAUUGAACGCUGGCGGCAGGCCUAACACAUGCAAGUCGAGCGGUAGCACAGAGAGCUUGCUCUCGGGUGACGAGCGGCGGACGGGUGAGUAAUGUCUGGGAAACUGCCUGAUGGAGGGGGAUAACUACUGGAAACGGUAGCUAAUACCGCAUAAUGUCGCAAGACCAAAGAGGGGGACCUUCGGGCCUCUUGCCAUCAGAUGUGCCCAGAUGGGAUUAGCUAGUAGGUGGGGUAACGGCUCACCUAGGCGACGAUCCCUAGCUGGUCUGAGAGGAUGACCAGCCACACUGGAACUGAGACACGGUCCAGACUCCUACGGGAGGCAGCAGUGGGGAAUAUUGCACAAUGGGCGCAAGCCUGAUGCAGCCAUGCCGCGUGUAUGAAGAAGGCCUUCGGGUUGUAAAGUACUUUCAGCGGGGAGGAAGGUGUUGUGGUUAAUAACCUCAGCAAUUGACGUUACCCGCAGAAGAAGCACCGGCUCACUCCGUGCC
RNAcentral lists this ribosomal RNA (498 nucleotides) under Klebsiella oxytoca. RNAcentral describes it as "bacterial SSU rRNA". It matches the Rfam family "Bacterial small subunit ribosomal RNA", at positions 20 to 509 of the family's 1533-position model. The record is from RNAcentral. Lineage: Bacteria; Pseudomonadati; Pseudomonadota; Gammaproteobacteria; Enterobacterales; Enterobacteriaceae.